AGGAGGAACAACCCCAGUGGCGGGGCCAGCUCUGGAGCCCUGGAGUCAGCUCCCACAGUAACUCCGGAGCUCUCUGUCUGCAGGGCCUGGAGGCUCCGGGGCGGG
Molecule: microRNA precursor, 105 nt
Filed under: Canis lupus familiaris (dog)
Lineage: Eukaryota; Metazoa; Chordata; Mammalia; Carnivora; Canidae
Description: mir-8834 microRNA precursor family
Rfam family: mir-8834 microRNA precursor family
Source: Rfam by way of RNAcentral